GGUGCGGCCACGGCCUAAGUUCCUUGGAACAGGACGUCAUAGAGGGUGAGAAUCCCGUCUUGGGUCGUUGGUCCACGCCCAUGUGAAGCUCCUUCGACGAGUCGAGUUGUUUGGGAAUGCAGCUCUAAGCGGGUGGUAAAUUUCAUCUAAAGCUAAAUAUUGGCCGGAGACCGAUAGCGCACAAGUAGAGUGAUCGAAAGGUUAAAAGCACCUUGAAAAGGGAGUUAAACAGCACGUGAAAUUGUUGAAAGGGAAGCGCUUGCGGCCAGACUCAGGCGCAGGGUUCAGCGGGUGCGUGUCACCCGUGCACUCCCUGCCGCCUGGGCCAGCAUCGGUUCUGACGGCCGGUCAAAGGCCCCCGGAAUGUGUCGUCUCUAGGGACGUCUUAUAGCCGGGGGUGCAAUGCGGCCCGUCGGGACUGAGGAACGCGCUUCGGCUCGGAUGCUGGCAUAAUGGCCGUAAGCGGCCCGUCUUGAAACACGGACCAAGGAGUCUAACAUCCACGCGAGUGUUCGGGUGUCAAACCCGUGCGCGCAGUGAAAGCGAACGGAGGUGGGAGCCUUAGGGCGCACCAUCGACCGAUCCUGAAGUCUUCGGAUGGAUUUGAGUAGGAGCGUGGCCGUUGGGACCCGAAAGAUGGUGAACUAUGCCUGAAUAGGGUGAAGCCAGAGGAAACUCUGGUGGAGGCUCGCAGCGGUUCUGACGUGCAAAUCGAUCGUCAAAUUUGGGCAUAGGGGCGAAAGACUAAUCGAACCAUCUAGUAGCUGGUUCCUGCCGAAGUUUCCCUCAGGAUAGCAGUAACGAAAUUCCAGUUUUAUGAGGUAAAGCGAAUGAUUAGAGGCCUUGGGGUUGAAACAACCUUAACCUAUUCUCAAACUUUAAAUAUGUAAGAAGCCCUUGUUUCUUAAGUGAACGUGGGCACUAGAAUGGAACGUUACUAGUGGGCCAUUUUUGGUAAGCAGAACUGGCGAUGCGGGAUGAACCGAACGCGAGGUUAAGGUGCCGGAAUGCACGCUCAUCAGACACCACAAAAGGUGUUAGUUCAUCUAGACAGCCCGACGGUGGCCAUGGAAGUCGGAAUCCGCUAAGGAGUGUGUAACAACUCACGGGCCGAAUGAACUAGCCCUGAAAAUGGAUGGCGCUCAAGCGUGCUA
RNAcentral lists this ribosomal RNA (1154 nucleotides) under Arthroderma redellii. RNAcentral's name for it is "eukaryotic LSU rRNA". It matches the Rfam family "Eukaryotic large subunit ribosomal RNA", at positions 167 to 1340 of the family's 3401-position model. Lineage: Eukaryota; Fungi; Ascomycota; Eurotiomycetes; Onygenales; Arthrodermataceae. The record is from RNAcentral.